UACGUAGGUGACAAACGUUAUCCGGAGUUACUGGGCGUAAAGGGCGUGUAGGCGGUCUGUUAAGUCUGGCGUGAAAGCUCUCGGCUAAACCGGGAGAGGUCGUUGGAUACUGGCAGACUAGAGGACGGUAGAGGCGUGUGGAAUUCCGGGUGUAGUGGUGAAAUGCGUAGAGAUCCGGAGGAACACCAGUGGCGAAGGCGACAUCCUGGACCAACACUGACACUGAGGAGCGAAAGCCAGGGGAGCAAACGGG
RNAcentral lists this ribosomal RNA (253 nucleotides) under uncultured bacterium. Its description in RNAcentral is "partial 16S ribosomal RNA". It matches the Rfam family "Bacterial small subunit ribosomal RNA", at positions 524 to 776 of the family's 1533-position model. The record is from RNAcentral.